CGCUAUUACUCCAACGCACGAUACUUUCGACGACUCCGAAUUUAAUUCCUUUUAAGACUGAAUACGUUAAUCGAUGCACGUGGCGAAAGCUUCCGAGGGAAUCAUCAGGAAAUUUAAAUUUCACGGAUCAAAUUUUUUUAAACGAUUAAUUCAAAAUGACUGAACACGUUCAUCCAUGCAUCUGCACGUGACGAAAGCUUCCGAGGGAAUCAUCAGGGAAUUUAAAUUUCACCGAUCAAUCUGGACAAACGUUUACGUAUGUUCACUACCGAGCGCACCUUUAAAUAACGGUCCGCACCCAGCUGUCCCCCAUUUUCGUUUGGAUCUCCGCGCACAAUAGGGGCUGUACGGACCCUUUCACUGUGGCCCUUAGAACUCCAGACGUCCUAGCGCAUAUGCGGUGUUCCGAGACAAAGACAUUAGACAUCGGUCGUUACAGAAUACAGAGUCUCCGGAUUCUCAAUAAUUGUCAAGUGACCGUAUGUAUGUACACUAUAACAGUAAACUAUAACAAUUUCAAGUAAAAUAAUAUUAUUCUAACACGUUCACCGUCAUGGUGGUCACCGAUGAGCGGAGCGUCCAAAUGAUUUGAAAACAAUUACAAGAAAACUGAUGCUAUAUCAAAAUAUUUAGUUACGUAGGUAGCUAAAUAAUAGUACAACUCCAAACUAUGAUACCAAACUAUUAACACUAGAUUUUUGAUAAAUGGGAUUUUUUUAACGCAGUUAUGCAAAUAUGUAUCCUAAUUGUCUACUCUUAAACCUCAAUUUU
Nomia melanderi (Alkali bee) is the source of this 771-nucleotide non-coding RNA. The record is from RefSeq and is a predicted model, not a curated record. NCBI's taxonomy places the organism in Eukaryota, Metazoa, Arthropoda, Insecta, Hymenoptera, Halictidae.